GAACCGCAUGGUUCUACAGUGAAAGACGGUCUUGCUGUCACUUAUAGAUGGACCCGCGCCGUAUUAGCUAGUUGGUGGGGUAACGGCCUACCAAGGCGACGAUACGUAGCCGACCUGAGAGGGUGAUCGGCCACACUGGAACUGAGACACGGUCCAGACUCCUACGGGAGGCAGCAGUAGGGAAUCUUCCGCAAUGGGCGAAAGCCUGACGGAGCAACGCCGCGUGAGUGAUGAAGGUCUUCGGAUCGUAAAGCUCUGUUGUUAGGGAAGAACAAAUGUGUAAGUAACUGUGCACAUCUUGACGGUACCUAACCAGAAAGCCACGGCUAACUACGUGCCAGCAGCCGCGGUAAUACGUAGGUGGCAAGCGUUAUCCGGAAUUAUUGGGCGUAAAGCGCGCGUAGGCGGUUUUUUAAGUCUGAUGUGAAAGCCCACGGCUCAACCGUGGAGGGUCAUUGGAAACUGGAAAACUUGAGUGCAGAAGAGGAAAGUGGAAUUCCAUGUGUAGCGGUGAAAUGCGCAGAGAUAUGGAGGAACACCAGUGGCGAAGGCGGCUUUCUGGUCUGCAACUGACGCUGAUGUGCGAAAGCGUGGGGAUCAAACAGGAUUAGAUACCCUGGUAGUCCACGCCGUAAACGAUGAGUGCUAAGUGUUAGGGGGUUUCCGCCCCUUAGUGCUGCAGCUAACGCAUUAAGC
This 696-nucleotide ribosomal RNA is filed under the name Staphylococcus pseudintermedius. Its description in RNAcentral is "bacterial SSU rRNA". It matches the Rfam family "Bacterial small subunit ribosomal RNA", at positions 183 to 865 of the family's 1533-position model. The record is from RNAcentral. Lineage: Bacteria; Bacillati; Bacillota; Bacilli; Caryophanales; Staphylococcaceae.